This 433-nucleotide ribosomal RNA is filed under the name uncultured bacterium. RNAcentral's name for it is "partial 16S ribosomal RNA". It matches the Rfam family "Bacterial small subunit ribosomal RNA", at positions 29 to 507 of the family's 1533-position model. The record is from RNAcentral.
AACGAACGCUGGCGGCAUGCCUAACACAUGCAAGUCGAACGAGACCUUCGGGUCUAGUGGCGCACGGGUGCGUAACGCGUGGGAACCUGCCCUUAGGUUCGGAAUAACUCCCCGAAAGGGGUGCUAAUACCGGAUAAUGUCUUCGGUCCAAAGAUUUAUCGCCUUUGGAUGGGCCCGCGUUGGAUUAGCUAGUUGGUAGGGUAAAAGCCUACCAAGGCGACGAUCCAUAGCUGGUCUGAGAGGAUGAGCAGCCACACUGGGACUGGGACACGGCCCAGACUCCUACGGGAGGCAGCAGUGGGGAAUAUUGGACAAUGGGCGAAAGCCUGAUCCAGCAAUGCCGCGUGAGUGAUGAAGGCCUUAGGGUUGUAAAGCUCUUUUACCCGGGAUGAUAAUGACAGUACCGGGAGAAUAAGCUCCGGCUAACUCCGUG